RNAcentral lists this ribosomal RNA (508 nucleotides) under uncultured bacterium. Its description in RNAcentral is "bacterial SSU rRNA". It matches the Rfam family "Bacterial small subunit ribosomal RNA", at positions 774 to 1277 of the family's 1533-position model. The record is from RNAcentral.
AGUCAAUAGAUACCCUGGUAGUCCCAGCAGUAAACGGUGCGCGUUUGGUGUGAGCAGAUUCGACUCUGUUCGCGCCGGAGCUAACGCGUUAAACGCGCCGCCUGGGAAGUACGAUCGCAAGAUUAAAACUCAAAGAAAUUGACGGGGGCCUGCACAAGCGGUGGAGUAUGUGGCUUAAUUCGAUGCAACGCGAAGAACCUUACCUGGGUUUGACAUGCAUCUCUAAGGAGGUGAAAGCUUCCGAGGGUAGCAAUACCCGAUUUGCACAGGUGCUGCAUGGCUGUCGUCAGCUCGUGUCGUGAGAUGUUGGGUUAAGUCCCGCAACGAGCGCAACCCUUGUAUGCUGUUGCUAUGCUUACGCAUAGCUCUCUGCGUAGACUGCCCCGUGAAACGGGGAGGAAGGUGGGGAUGACGUCAAGUCAGCAUGGCCCUUACACCCCAGGGCUGCACACGUACUACAAUGCUCAGUACAAUUAGAACCUGCCCCGCGAGGGUUGGGAAAUCAGCG